CUGGUUGAUCCUGCCAGUAGUCAUAUGCUUGUUUCAAGGAUUAAGCCAUGCAUGUCUAAGUAUAAGCUCUUGUACGGCUAGACUGCAGACGGCUCAUUACAACGGUUGUAUCUUACAGGGCAUCCGGGUCGCAAGACCUUCUGGAUAACCGCAGUAAAUCGGGGCUAAUACAUACAAACGGAGGAAUGGAGGGGGCAACCUUGAAGUUUCUGCGAUGGACAUUUAGCUAUUCGACCAACCCCGCAAGGGAAUGGUUGGAACCGGUUCAUAUUGCUAAUCGACUCUAGCUUGCUAGUAGUCUGAUAAGCCCUAUAGACAACCGCCCUAUCAACUUGAUGGUAAGGUUUUGGCUUACCAUGGUUGUAACGGGUAACGGGGAAUCAGGGUUCGAUUCCGGAGAGGACGCCUGAGAAACGGCGUCCACAUCUACGGGUGGCAGCAGGCGCGUAAAUUGCCCAAUCUCAACAGAGAGGAGGCGGUGACAAUAAAUCCCGAUGGCUUUGGGGGCAACCCCAGGCUAAUCAGAAUAAGUACACAUUAAAUCCCCUAACCAAUAUAAUUGGAGGGCAAGUCUGGU
RNAcentral lists this ribosomal RNA (577 nucleotides) under uncultured eukaryote. Its description in RNAcentral is "bacterial SSU rRNA". It matches the Rfam family "Eukaryotic small subunit ribosomal RNA", at positions 4 to 565 of the family's 1831-position model. The record is from RNAcentral.